UUAUAACACCCCACAUCGAUUUAUCUAGAAUGUCGAUAAGAGUGUACAUAACUGAAUCAGGAAACAUUAAAUUUUCAUCACAUAUUGUCCGAAUACAUAAAUAGGAUUACAAAAUCCAAGAGAUUAAUACUAAAUUGAGCUAACAACUGAAAACAUAAAAAACUAAAUCUUAUACAAAUAUAAGAUAACAUGACGUCAGCUCAACAAGCAUAAUCCAAGUAUCUGAACUCCAUGCUUGCAGACCAUGAUAUCUUGAUCAACCUGUUUAUCUG
This 272-nucleotide long non-coding RNA is filed under the name Trifolium pratense (red clover). Its description in RNAcentral is "long non-coding RNA (TPRA_LNC004287)". The record is from RNAcentral. Lineage: Eukaryota; Viridiplantae; Streptophyta; Magnoliopsida; Fabales; Fabaceae.